This 1121-nucleotide long non-coding RNA is filed under the name Ananas comosus (pineapple). Its description in RNAcentral is "long non-coding RNA (ACOM_LNC015804)". Lineage: Eukaryota; Viridiplantae; Streptophyta; Magnoliopsida; Poales; Bromeliaceae. The record is from RNAcentral.
AAGAAAUGGAUGUAAAAUUUACACUCUUGGGCUGCGUUUGGUUCGGGUAUAAGUAAGAAUUGCUAGUUCCAGGGAUAGGUACAAGUUCAGGUAUAAGCAGGAACUAGACCAAUUUUCCGUUUGGAUGAAAAUUGGGUUGUUCCUAGGGAUAAGAUAAAUAGUAUUUAAAUGGUUAGAUUGGAACAAGAGGAAUAAAAGUUAUAAUUUGAAAUUAAAUUUGUAUUAUGUAAUUAAUUAACAUCAAAAUAUUACUUAAAAAUAAAUAAUAAUUUAAUUAUUAAUAUUUAAUUAUAAAUAAUAAAUUAAUAAUAUUGAAUACCUAAUUAAUUAUAAUAAUAAUUGAUAAUUAUUAAUAAAAAAUAAUAAUUAUUAAUUAUUAUUAUUAAUUAAUUAUUAAUAAUAAAUUAAUAAUAAUAUCGAUUAUCUAAUUUUUAUUAAUAAUAACAUUGAUUAUCUAAUUAUUAUAAUUAUUAUUAAUAUUUAUUAAUAAUAAAUUAGGAAUAAUAAAUUAAUAUAAUUAUUAUCUAGUUAUUAAUAAUUAAUUAUAAAUAAUAAAUUAAUAAUAAUAUCGAUUAUCUAAAUUAUUAAGGAUAAUAAUUAUUAAUAAUUAUUAAUAAAUAAUAAUAAUUAUUAUUAAUUAUCAUUAAUUAAUUAUAAAUAAUAAAUUAAUAAUAAUAGCGAUUGUCUAAUUAAUAAUUAUUAAUAAUUAAUUAUAAAUAAUAAAUUAUUAAUACAAUCGAUUAUCUAAUUAUUAAGGAUAGUAAUUAUUAAUAAAUAAUAAUAAAUAUUAUUAAUUAUUAAUUAUUAAUAAUUAAUUAUCACUAAUAAAUUAAUUAUAAUAAUUAUCUAAUUAUUAUUAAUUAAUUACAAAUAAUAAAUUAAUUAAUUACUUAAUUAUUAAAGUAAUAAAUAAUAAUUUAAAUAUAUUAAUUAGAUUAAUUAAUAAUUUACUAUCAUUAAAAUUAAAUUUAGAUUUUAAUUAAUCUUGUUCUCAUCAAGGAACAAGCUUGUUCCAGUAAAAAGGUGGAACAGCAGUUCCAGCCUUAUACCGGCUUGUUCUUGAAAUCCUGGAACUACUAUUCCCGGGCAACAAAUAUUGCGUUUGGGAACAAAGGAGGGAA